Molecule: long non-coding RNA, 365 nt
Organism: Gossypium arboreum
Lineage: Eukaryota; Viridiplantae; Streptophyta; Magnoliopsida; Malvales; Malvaceae
Exons: 2
Source: RefSeq, a predicted model, not a curated record
CAAAACCAACACUUUCUCACACGAAAUUUCCAUGCAUUGAUAUGCAAUCCACGCCUAUAUAUGAAGAUGGCUAAUCAGAGAAAUGAAAAAGCAAAGCAAGAAAUGCGAGAAACUGGCGGUUGGGGGAAUCUUGUCGCAGGAGCGAUGGCACUGCCUUUUGUUUUUGUUUUCCUUGUAUAGCAACACAGCACAGUGCCAUCGGCCUGCGACAAGGUACCCUGCAACUUCCUUUAAUUUGUUCGUCAUCUUCUCCAUGGUUUCUCACAGAUGUUGAUACUGUUGAAAGAUGUAUCAGUGGCACUGGCAGGCAAUUGUAGUAACUGGUUUUUCACAGUAAUAUAGAUCAAUUCCAAAUGCUUUGUAAA